UACGUAGGUGGCAAGCGUUACUCGGAAUCACUAGGCGUAAAGCGCAGGUAGGCGGUUAGAUAAGUUUCUUGUGAAAGCUCCUGGCUUAACUGGGAGAGGUCAAGGAAUACUGUUUGACUUGAGUGUGGUAGGGGUAACUGGAAUUCCCGGUGUAGCGGUGAAAUGCGCAGAUAUCAGGAGGAACACCGGUGGCGAAGGCGGGUCUCUGGGCCACUACUGACGCUGAGAAGCGAAAGCAUGGGGAGCGAACAGG
RNAcentral lists this ribosomal RNA (253 nucleotides) under uncultured bacterium. RNAcentral describes it as "partial 16S ribosomal RNA". It matches the Rfam family "Bacterial small subunit ribosomal RNA", at positions 524 to 776 of the family's 1533-position model. The record is from RNAcentral.